Molecule: ribosomal RNA, 417 nt
Filed under: Aspergillus unguis
Lineage: Eukaryota; Fungi; Ascomycota; Eurotiomycetes; Eurotiales; Aspergillaceae
Description: eukaryotic LSU rRNA
Rfam family: 5.8S ribosomal RNA (bases 46-199)
Source: RNAcentral
UGCCUGAGAGUGAUGCAGUCUGAGUCUGAAUUAUAAAUCAGUCAAAACUUUCAACAAUGGAUCUCUUGGUUCCGGCAUCGAUGAAGAACGCAGCGAACUGCGAUAAGUAAUGUGAAUUGCAGAAUUCAGUGAAUCAUCGAGUCUUUGAACGCACAUUGCGCCCCCUGGCAUUCCGGGGGGCAUGCCUGUCCGAGCGUCAUUGCUGCCCUUCAAGCCCGGCUUGUGUGUUGGGUCGUCGUCCCCCCCGGGGGACGGGCCCGAAAGGCAGCGGCGGCACCGUGUCCGGUCCUCGAGCGUAUGGGGCUUUGUCACCCGCUCGAUUAGGGCCGGCCGGGCGCUAGCCGGCGUCAUCAAUCUAUUUUACCAGGUUGACCUCGGAUCAGGUAGGGAUACCCGCUGAACUUAAGCAUAUCAAUA